RNAcentral lists this ribosomal RNA (686 nucleotides) under Streptomyces olivochromogenes. Its description in RNAcentral is "bacterial SSU rRNA". It matches the Rfam family "Bacterial small subunit ribosomal RNA", at positions 88 to 788 of the family's 1533-position model. The record is from RNAcentral. Lineage: Bacteria; Bacillati; Actinomycetota; Actinomycetes; Kitasatosporales; Streptomycetaceae.
UGGAUUAGUGGCGAACGGGUGAGUAACACGUGGGCAAUCUGCCCUUCACUCUGGGACAAGCCCUGGAAACGGGGUCUAAUACCGGAUAAUACCUGCCUGGGCAUCUGGGUGGGUUGAAAGCUCCGGCGGUGAAGGAUGAGCCCGCGGCCUAUCAGCUUGUUGGUGAGGUAGUGGCUCACCAAGGCGACGACGGGUAGCCGGCCUGAGAGGGCGACCGGCCACACUGGGACUGAGACACGGCCCAGACUCCUACGGGAGGCAGCAGUGGGGAAUAUUGCACAAUGGGCGAAAGCCUGAUGCAGCGACGCCGCGUGAGGGAUGACGGCCUUCGGGUUGUAAACCUCUUUCAGCAGGGAAGAAGCGAGAGUGACGGUACCUGCAGAAGAAGCGCCGGCUAACUACGUGCCAGCAGCCGCGGUAAUACGUAGGGCGCAAGCGUUGUCCGGAAUUAUUGGGCGUAAAGAGCUCGUAGGCGGCUUGUCACGUCGGGUGUGAAAGCCCGGGGCUUAACCCCGGGUCUGCAUUCGAUACGGGCUAGCUAGAGUGUGGUAGGGGAGAUCGGAAUUCCUGGUGUAGCGGUGAAAUGCGCAGAUAUCAGGAGGAACACCGGUGGCGAAGGCGGAUCUCUGGGCCAUUACUGACGCUGAGGAGCGAAAGCGUGGGGAGCGAACAGGAUUAGAUACCCU